RNAcentral lists this ribosomal RNA (253 nucleotides) under uncultured bacterium. RNAcentral describes it as "partial 16S ribosomal RNA". It matches the Rfam family "Bacterial small subunit ribosomal RNA", at positions 524 to 776 of the family's 1533-position model. The record is from RNAcentral.
UACGGGGGGGGCAAGCGUUGUUCGGAAUUACUGGGCGUAAAGGGCUCGUAGGUGGCCAACUAAGUCAGACGUGAAAUCCCUCGGCUUAACCGGGGAACUGCGUCUGAUACUGGAUGGCUUGAGUUUGGGAGAGGGACGCGGAAUUCCAGGUGUAGCGGUGAAAUGCGUAGAUAUCGUGAGGAAGACCAGUGGCGAAGGCGGAUCUCUGGACAGUUCCUGACGCUGAGGCGCGAAGGCCAGGGGAGCAAACGGG